Molecule: ribosomal RNA, 371 nt
Filed under: uncultured eukaryote
Lineage: Eukaryota
Description: partial 18S ribosomal RNA
Rfam family: Eukaryotic small subunit ribosomal RNA
Source: RNAcentral
CAAUAGCGUAUAUUAAAGUUGUUGCAGUUAAAAAGCUCGUAGUUGGAUUUCUGGUAGGAUGACUGUGCCCUCAGUAGAGUGUGCGCUGGCGUCUUGCCAUCCUUCUGUUGACCUUUGGGAGCUUCACCGCUCCCUUUGGGGCUCAGAUAUUUUACCUUGAGAAAAUUAGAGUGUUUCAGGCAGGCUAGCGCCGGAAUACAUUAGCAUGGAAUAAUGGAAUAGGACUUUUGCCUCUUCUGUUGGUCAUGGGGUUCGAGUAAUGAUUAAUAGGGAUAGUUGGGGGCAUUAGUACUUCACUGUCAGAGGUGAAAUUCUCGGAUUUGUGAAAGACUAACUUAUGCGAAAGCAUUUGCCAAGGAUGUUUUCAUUAA